Long non-coding RNA from Oncorhynchus tshawytscha (Chinook salmon), 1024 nucleotides. NCBI's taxonomy places the organism in Eukaryota, Metazoa, Chordata, Actinopteri, Salmoniformes, Salmonidae. The record is from Ensembl.
GGGAGGGAGGGAGAGGGACGGAGGGAGGGGAGAGGGACGGAGGGAGGGAGGAGAGAGGGACGGAGCUCGGGAGGGAGGGGAGAGGGACGGAGCUCGGGAGGCAGGAGUGAGGGACGACGCUAGGGAGGGAGAAGAGAGGGACGGAGAGAGGGACGGAGCUCAGAAGGGAGGAGAGAGGGACAGAGAGAGGGAGGGAGGAGAGAGGGACGGAGAGAGGGAGGGAGGAGAGAGGGACAGAGGGAGGGAGGAGAGAGUGACGGAGCUAGGGACGGAGGAGAGUGACGGAGCUACGGAGGGAGGAGAGAGUGACGGAGCUAGGGACAGAGGAGAGAGUGACGGAGCUAGGGACGGAGGAGAGAGUGAUGGAGCUAGGGACGGAGGAGAGAGUGACGGAGCUACGGAGGGAGGAGAGAGUGACGGAGCUAGGGAGGGAGGAGAGAGGGACAGAGCUAAGGAGAGAGUGACGGCACUAGGGACAGAGGAGAGAGUGACGGAGCUAGGGACAGAGGAGAGUGACGGCGCUACGAAGGAAGGAGAGAGUGACGGCGCUAGGGAGGGAGGAGAGAGGGAAGCUAGGGGCAGAUACAAAAGCCCUAGAAGGCCAGAGGGAAGACCCCUGCCAGGCGCUAGCACUAACUACCUGGCUAAUCAAAAGAAGUGGUUUCAAGGUCAGAUCAAGGAUAGGGCUAACUGGGUACGGCUGGAAUAUCACUGAACAGAUGGACAUUGUAAAGACCACUUAGCUUAUCUAAACUAUGUACAAACUUCUCUUUAGACUUUGUUACAAAACUUGAACUGUAACUAAUCUCAGCCCAUAGCCUCAGAAUCCAUCACACUGCCCUCAGCAUGGAUAGGAGAUCGCUGGUAGUGAGAGACAAUGUACUGAAUGUAUGUAUCUAUGUAUGUAUCCGUGUACUCUGUAUGCGUGCAUGUAUGUAUCCGGGUACCCUGUAUGUAUCCGGGUACCCUGUAUGUAUCCGGGUACCCUGUAUGUAUCCGGGUACCCUGUAUGUAUCCGGGUACC